RNAcentral lists this long non-coding RNA (204 nucleotides) under Homo sapiens (human). RNAcentral's name for it is "HSALNT0068548". Lineage: Eukaryota; Metazoa; Chordata; Mammalia; Primates; Hominidae. The record is from RNAcentral.
CAUCUGAAUGGACACCUGUGUGCCAUCCCAGCACUGGGGAUAUGGUGGUGGUGAGGACUGCUGAAACUAAAAGCAAAGAAAAAAUUUCCAUGUUAAAGACAUUCUCUUCAUACUGAAAAGGAACGGCAACAUUUUGAUCUUCAAGGACAGAGACUUAAGACCAGGAAAAUGGGCCUGGGGCCAAGAUGGCCGAAAAGGAACAGC